This 253-nucleotide ribosomal RNA is filed under the name uncultured bacterium. Its description in RNAcentral is "partial 16S ribosomal RNA". It matches the Rfam family "Bacterial small subunit ribosomal RNA", at positions 524 to 776 of the family's 1533-position model. The record is from RNAcentral.
UACGAAGGGUGCUAGCGUUGUUCGGAAUCACUGGGCGUAAAGAGCGUGUAGGCGGCCAAGUAAGUCUGCUGUGAAAACUCGAGGCUUAACCUCGAGCUGUCGGCGGAAACUAUUUGGCUAGAGUCCGGAAGAGGAGAAUGGAAUUCCCGGUGUAGCGGUGAAAUGCGCAGAUAUCAGGAGGAACACCGAUAGCGAAGGCAGCUCGCUGGGACGGUACUGACGCUGAGGUGCGAAAGCGUGGGGAGCGAACAGG